GCCAUGAGUCAACACAAAAUAGUUCAUCACACAGGGUACAAGUUACCAUCAGGCCUAGGAGCUGCCAGUUUGUGCAGGCGCCCCUCCAGGUUUGCGUGGCGCAGCCUGACAGGCUGUGGGGUGGCACGCUUGGUUUCGAGAAAGUGUCCAUAUUGGGUAUUUUGAAUGGCAUGCGUGGCCUGGCACAAGCAGGUGAGCCCUGCUGAAACCGGACACGGUCUGCCCACAGGAGCGACUGGAAAGGAGAGGUGAUUUAAUGGGGCACGUUGAGAUAGGUUGAUCCACUGUUGGACGAUGUUCUUGAGCGAUGAUUGCCCUAGGAAGUGACAUAAGGACUUUCCAUCAGGUUGGAUGUCAUCGUGGGCAACACAGCGUCAGUGACUUCCCUUGAAGUGACAGACUCACUCUGUUCAGUGUGGAGGGAAUGCCGGCCAAGUACGCGAGUCGAAGGCUUUGAGAACCAUGGAGUGAUCCGGGAGGUCAGUCAGGGCGUCACUUGAGCCCAGGGACCAGAAAGGGGACCCCGCCGGAGCUGGGUGCCGGUUGUGUGCAGGGCCCUGCAUGAGGCCUUUGGUGAGGGCCAAGUGCUGCGAGCGGCAGACGGCGCCUGGCACGUUGACCGUUGCUCAGGACCCAGCAGGAAGCCCUCUGUUGGUAAGAGGCCUACCUCACGGUCACUCUGCGGAGCUUCUGUCUGGGGACGUGGGGCCUCGGCCAGCCCUGCUCCCGGGAUCCAGUGUAAACAAGGCCGGUGAGCGCCCAGAGGUCAGAAGCUGGGAACAGACACCCACAGCCAGCUCUUCACGAACAAGAGGCCUUAUUUUUAUGCGGUUGCCGCACCCUCUGCCAAGAAAGUGGGGAGGGCAUUAAAAAGGCUGAUUUUGUAGUA
Long non-coding RNA from Canis lupus familiaris (dog), 889 nucleotides. RefSeq lists it as uncharacterized. The record is from RefSeq and is a predicted model, not a curated record. The transcript is spliced from 3 exons. NCBI's taxonomy places the organism in Eukaryota, Metazoa, Chordata, Mammalia, Carnivora, Canidae.